GAUGAACGCUGGCGGCGUGCCUAAUACAUGCAAGUCGAGCGAACGGACGAGAAGCUUGCUUUUCUGAUGUUAGCGGCGGACGGGUGAGUAACACGUGGAUAACCUACCUAUAAGACUGGGAUAACUUCGGGAAACCGGAGCUAAUACCGGAUAAUAUUUUGAACCGCAUGGUUCAAAAGUGAAAGACGGUCUUGCUGUCACUUAUAGAUGGAUCCGCGCUGCAUUAGCUGGUUGUUAAGGUAACGGCUUACUAAGGCAACGAUGCAUAGCCGACCUGAGAGGGUGAUCGGCCACACUGGAACUUAGACACGGUCCAGAGUCCUACGGGAGGCAGCAGUAGGGAACCUGACGCAGCGGGCGAAAGCCUGACGGAGUAAGGCCGCGUGUGUGAUGAAGGUCUUCGGAUCGUAAAACUCUGUUAUGAGGGAAGAACAGAUGUGUAAGUAACUGUGCACAUCUUGACGGUACCUAAUCAGAAAGCCCCGGCUAACUACGUG
This 497-nucleotide ribosomal RNA is filed under the name uncultured bacterium. RNAcentral describes it as "partial 16S ribosomal RNA". It matches the Rfam family "Bacterial small subunit ribosomal RNA", at positions 28 to 507 of the family's 1533-position model. The record is from RNAcentral.